UUCACCUUGACUUUUGUAGGAUAUAAAGUACAGUAGAAUUAAAAAAAAAUGAAAAAUAGAAAUUAGUUUCUUUAGAAGUCAAUAUUAAGAAGAUUCUGAUUCAUUAAAUUGUUUGUUAAAUAUUAUAAAGUGAUGGCAGGAUAUAUAGAUAUUAAAAUACUACCUUUUGGAAAGCCGAACAUACUUGAUAUAUUUUAUAUUAUAAAACUGAAAGUAUUACUAGUAAGACAAGAUCUAGAGGAUGAUUUUAUUAUGAAAUAUGAAUUAAAAAAUAUUUCAGAUAUAUAAACUUGAAAUAUAUAAAUUUAAAGAACACACAGAGACUAAACUUUAAGUUCAGAACAAGCCAAGCAGUCAUUGGAAUUGUGAAGUUGAUCCAUUCAAACCUCUAAAAUAGAUGAGAAUUUAGUCACAUAUUUCUUUGUUUUUUUUUUUUUUUUUCACUUAGCAUGAUAGUGGUAGUUUUAUUUAAAAGUAAGCAUUUCUCUUUUUUUACAGGUGGGGCAAUGAAUCUCAUCACCUUUCUUCAGUGAUAGAUUUGUAUUUGAAAUCUAACUUUAUUAAUCAUUAGCUGUAUUCUCUUGGCAAGUUGAUCUUCUUAGGCUCAAUGACCUCACCAAUAAAAGGGGGCUGAUGGUAGUACAACCUUCAAGAGGUUAUGACUUGUGAUGGAAACAAUAACAAAGUCCUAAGAUGAACCUGCCACAAUACAGUAAGUAACAAGUGUUUUUAUAAUAAUAAUCUUCCUAAGUGCAGCAAAUGUUUAUUGUAUCCCUAGUCUGUGUGGCAUACUCAGAAGGUAUGGUGAGGGAUUUGAAAAUGCUCAAGGCAACAGCUGUACCAUAAAGGAGCUUAACACUUAGUGGAAAAGAUAAAACAUACUUUAAAAAAAAUGUAAUGCAGGCUUCAAUGUGUUAAGUGAUGCCAGGGAGUUACAGACAGUGUAUUAGUAGAAUCCAAAGAGAGACCACUUAUUAUUGGUGGCAAGAGAGUCAUUCUCAGCAGUGGUAAUAUUUGAACUCGGUUUUACUGGCCCUGGGUUUAGAGAUGCUGAGCUGGUGAUUGGACCUCCCCAAAAGAGCAAGUAGAGGCAGAGGAUAUGAAGAGAUAAAUGCAUGGCAAGUGUUUCACUUAUCUAGUAGAUGUUCAUUAAGUACCUAUGUUUUGCUGGACAUUAUUCUAAGAACUUGGGAUACAUCAGUAAACAAAAGAUCCUUGCCCUCACGUAGAGGAAGACAGAUAAUAAGCAUGCCAAAGCAGUGAACUCAAUUGUGUGUUAGAGGUGAUAAGUUCUCUGGGUAAAAAUAUAACAGGUUAAGUAGGUUUGAGAGGCUGUGGAAGUUAGGGUAUGUGUCAGGGCUGCCAUAACAAAAUGCCACAGACUAGAUGACUUAAACAACAGAAAAAAAUGUUUUCUCAUAGUUCUGGAAGUGAAAGUCCCCUUUGAUUUCUUCUUAGGAGGCUUCUCUCUUUGACUUAUAGGCGGCCACCUUCUUGCUAUGUCCUCACAGUCUUCACUGUUUGCAUGCAUGCCUCUGCUGUCUAUUUAGGUGUCUAAAUUUCUUCUUAUAAAAACAGAUUGGAUUAGGGCCUGCUCUAAAGGCCUCAUUUUAAGUGAAUCACAUCUUUAAAGACCUUAUCUUAAAAUAUCAUACAUUCUGAGAUAACAAAGGUUAGGACUUCUAUGUAUGAACUUGUGGAGUACACAAUUCAGCCUAAAACUGUAUGGUUACAGUUGAAAUAAAGUCGUUACUAUAGACUCUGAGAGGGUGGCAUUGGAUCAAAAUUGUGAAGUAAGCAAGAGAGUCAUGGAAAUAUAAGGAGGGGGGAGCAGGAAGAGAAAUAAGUUGGUGUAAAGGGCCUGAGGCAGCUUGUAUUAAAUGUGUUUGAGAGGCACAAAGCAGGAGAGUUAUCUAGAACAGAGGAAAACCAGAUUAAUUGGAGAUAAAGGCAGAAAGUCAAAGGAACUCAUUAAUAUGUGGCCUUAUAAGCUAUGCUGAGGACCCAAGCAUAUGUUCUGAGUGAAACAGGGAGCCACUGUGGGAUUGUGAGCAGAGGAGUUACAAUUAACAGGGGUUGGCAAACUGUAGCCCACAGUUCAAAUCUUACCUGUUGUCUGUUCUUGCAUGGUCUGUUAACUAAGAAUUGCCUCUACAUUGUGAAAUGAUUGGAGAAACAUAAAAAGAAAAAUAUUUCAUGACAGUUAAAUUAUAUGAAAUUGAAAUGUAAUGUCCUAAAAUAAAGUUUUGCUGGAACCUGGCCCAUGCCCAUUCAUUUACAUAGCGACUAUGGCUCUUUUUCUGUGUUUCAGUGGCAGAGCUGACUGGUUGCAACAGGAGCUUGGGUAUACCCAGUCAAUAAUAUUCAGCAUCUGAACCUUUACAGAGUAAAUUCUCUAUCUGUAUGAUAUAAGGUCAAGGAUAGAAUCUGGACAGAAAAUAGGAGGCUUUGAUGAGGGUACUGGCAGAGGAGCUGUGCUGGGGUUUGGGCAGUAUGGCUAGUGAACCAGAUUGACAGAAAUGAUGGGAACUAUGUGGCGGGAGGGGCUGUGGGGUUGGAACGCAGCCUGGCAGGCCUUUGAGCACAGGUGUGACACUUCUGCAGUCUUGUUCCUAAAGCUCUGUGCCACUGUCCUUAAAGAAGUGCUUUGGAAGCCCAGCUGGCAUUGGAUGGCUGCAGGGAACUGAUUGCAAUGCUGGAGUCAAGAGGUAUGGAUGGCCUGGAAGUGAAGAGAAAAGGGCAAUGGAAAGCAAGAUUCAAGUGCAUCCUGACACUGUGAGCAGCUUUUCCAUUUUCUGUGCCAGGGAGGAGCCUUCUGUGAUGAUAUAGCAGUUUUCAAACAACUUUUAAAAAUAUCUUGAAGUGCUAGAAUACUAGUAUUCUAAUUAUAUACCCUUGGAAUUAAAAUAGAGUUCUUUAAGUGAGUCAGGACAGAUGCCUUCUACAAUUUAGACCAUUGGGUGUAUAAUAUUAAAAAUGAACUCAAAAGAAGACCAUCAUGGCCUUCUUUUGAUGGCCACAGAUACUCUCAAUCUGGAUUUCCACCUUAUUUAAUUAUAAUUUAUUUGUUAAAAACUACCAUGUUUAACUUGGCAUUUCUAUUUUGUUCUCUUGAGUUACAUUCAUAAUCUAUGUCCUCGAUCUUAAAGUGCCUCCAUAGAAAUCCACUGUCUUUGCUAAAACAUUUGCACCAUUUUUUUUCUUGGAAUAUAUUCUUUGGAAGAUUGAUGGUUGAAACAACAUUUAAUUCACUUUUAUGUCUUCUUUAAAUCAUCUCAGUCAUAGAUUUUACAGAAGAUUUGCUUCUUUCUUUAUAAAGAAACACUUUAUUUUAAAAAGUGUGAUUGCAGUAUUCAUUAUGUGAUCUUAUCUGACAUAGAGAAAUAAUAUGUCAUAGGUUGAAUUCAGUGUUAUAAAGUUGCUCCAUCCCAUAUUUUCCAACUUUAUCGAUCCCAUCUUUUUAAAUUCAGACUAUGAAAAGUGAGGUCAAAAUACAAAACACUCCAAAUAUAGGAAGAAUAAAAUGGACUUAACUCCUAGAAAUCUGGCCUAAAAAGUUACAUUGCAUAAAGUAGACCUCAAACAUAGAGUUGCCUUAUUCACAGAUGAAAGAAUACAAAGUUUCUUGAAUGAAUAUAUUUCUGGUGACAGAAUCUUUCAGACAUAACUCUUCCGAAUUUAGACUGGUUAAAAGAAUUGUGAAAUAUUUUUGCUGCAAUGAGAAGGGGAAAGUAGGAUCUCCUGUUCAUUUAAAAAUAAUCGUUCUUUACCAAGAACAGAGAGUGGUUAAGUGUCCUCCCUAGGGUUCCCAAGGGAAGAGUCAUUUCAGGACAAGGUCUGAGGUCAACUUGUCCAGAUUCUGAUUUAAGUUUGAAAAAUGUUCCUCUUAAGUUUAUAUGGAGGUAAUCAAGUUUGAAAGGUGAUACAAUUCAUUUCAUGUUGUAAUUGUUCUAAAGAUGGCAAUUCCUAUCCUGUUUCAAACAUUCCCCUACUUUGGGAAUCAAAAUGCAAAAGCAAAUAUUGAAAAUGAAAACAGAUAGUGAAGAUAGUGACAGUCUAGAAAAGGGUCUGCACUAGCUAGAAUCUAGUGAUGCUCCAUGGUAUGCCCAUCAUCCUGCAGAGGUCCUGGAGGCCCCAGGAGGUCAAUGUCAUUGAGGGCCAUAAUGCUGAGUAUGGUGAUCUCACUGUCUCUUUGUUGUCAGACCAGAUUUAUCUAAUGGUGCAGUGUCAAUGUUCAGGCUAGCUACCUGUUCUCUUCUUCAAAGUCUAGGCCACAGGUCCUUCAAAUGUGUGACACAGCUGUUGGUGGAAGUAAGCUGAGUCUUCAUGACACACAGUCUUGGCAUUAAAAUAUAGUUGGAUCACAUAAUCAGGAAGAAAUGCCUUUUAUGUUUUCUUUCAGUCUUUUGAUAGCAUCAGUACACAGCCUCAGGUUACUGCAAAUAUAUCUUUAUCACUCCUGAAAGACCUGUGACUCUCCAUUUUUAGCAAGAGAACAAAUAUAAGGCUCUGUCUGAAGCAUGGCAGUGGGGUGAAUCUGAAUUGUGAGAAGGAUCUUGUUUACAAAAUCUUUUGUAUGAGAUCCUUGUAUUUAUGGAAAAAAAUCAAAAAAUACGUUUAUGAGAGUUAAAUAUUUUAUUUAAAACCAAAUUUAUUUAACUGAAACUGACGUUUUAAAAAUAUGAAUUCCGAGGUUGCUCACAUAUGGCAAAUCUCAUGAAGGGGGACAAGAUGGGACAAAGCUAUUGUACGAUUAUGAAUGGGACCUAUAAUGGCAGAGUAGAUGAAAAGGAACCAGCUGGGCUGAAAACCCCAGGGAGAGAAAUUCUGUUUCUUGAUUUGUUAGAUAGGACUCUCAAGCCAAGCUUCUCCCUCCCCACAGUGAGGGACGUUAUAGAGGGGAACAGCUAAGAAUACUAAGCUCAUACUUCAAAGACAGCUUGCCAAAGGAAAACACUGCUGCUUUUAAGAUAUUCUUAAGAUAUAGUGUUCAAAAUAAUUAAGGAGUAUUAGCCACUCAUCAUAACUGUAUUGGUUCAACUGAACCUAUAAUUGGCACACACUGUUACCUCUUUAACAUUACUUCCACCCAAAAGUACCCAGAUCAUUUAAACCCUCCAGAAAGCUCAUUUGAGUUAGAUGUAGAGAAAGAUACUUCUGUGAUCCCAUGAAUGAGGUAGAAGUGUACUGUGCAGGUGCCUGCAUACACACACACACACACACACACACACACACACACCCCACAGUCUGUCAGAUCUGUGAUCCUCCUGUCUGUCAGAACCAAGUUUCUGGUUAUCACCCUAAGAGAUUUAGACUGGAGACCAACUCAACAAGUACAGCGAAGAGCUAAAAAGAUUACUUCAAUGCUUUUGGCAAGUCAUUAACAUUUUCCAUUCUAAAUAUGAUUUGUUGUUAGAGUUCUUAAUGCUAAAGUGUUUAAAAGAUCGAGUCUAUUGAUAGUGCAGUAUUUUCUCUUCAUUUUCUGUCUUUAAACACUCCCUCUGCAGCAUGAAAAUAUGUGCUGAUUUCUUUAAGUCUUAAAAUGAGUUGGGAUAAUUAAAAACACAUAAAGAAACAGGUAUGAUAGUUUUCUAGUUACCUGUCUGGUAAACAUUAGUUAUUCAGGCACAUGGACUACACUUCAGCAGAAAUGAUGGACCACGUAUUGAUUAUUUUUUUAAUACUGAUGCUGAAAUUGGGUGUUAUAAAAACUGCUUAAAAUUGGCUAUUAUCUUGGAAUAACACUGGAACAUACUUCAUUACCCAUUGCCAUGGACUGAUUCCUCUAUGUACAGUGUGUUAGUAUAGUUGGCUCAAAGUUAGAAUGAUAUCUUUACAGACAGUAAAUUAAACAAUUCUUCUCUCCCACUUGUUUCCAUACUUGUUUUUAAAAAGAUAUAGGGUAAAUUUUUAGGACGUUUGAUUUGGAAUAAGGCCCAAUCAUGCUAUGUUAAAUGGAGGGUUUAAUUUUUUUCCCUCCUUUUUUUUAUUGGUUGUUCAAAACAUUACAAAGCUCUUGACAUAUCAUAUUUCAUACAUUAGAUUCAAGUUGGUUAUGAACUCCCAAUUUUACCCCAAAUACAGAUUGCAGAAUCACAUCGGUUACACAUCCACAUUUUUACAUAAUGCCCUAUUAGUAACUGUUGUAUUCUGCUACCUUUCCUAUCCUCUACUAUCCCCCCUCCCAUCCCCUCCCAUCUUCUCUCUCUACCCCAUCUAUUGUAAUUCAUUUCUCUCCUUGUUUAUUUUCCCAUUCCCCUCACAACCUCUUAUAUGUAAUUUUGUAUAACAAUGAGGGUCUCCCUCCAUUACCAUGCAAUUUCCCUUUUCUCUCUCUUUCCCUCCCACCUCAUGUAUCUGUUUAAUGUUAAUCUUUUCUUCCUGCUCUUCCUCCCUGCUCUGUUCUUAGUUGCUCUCAUUAUAUCAAAGAAGACAUUUGGUAUUUGUUUUUUAGGGAUUGGCUAGCUUCACUAAGCAUAAUCUGCUCUAGUGCCAUCCAUUUCCCUGCAAAUUCCAUGAUUUUGUCAUUUUUUAGUGCUGCGUAAUACUCCAUGGUGUAUAAAUGCCACAUUUUUUUUAUCCAUUCAUCUAUUGAAGGGCAUAUGGGUUGGUUCCACAGUCUAGCAAUUGUAAAUUGUGCUGCUAUGAACAUCGAUGUAGCAGUAUCCCUGUAGUACGCUCUUUUAAGGUCUUCAGGGAAUAGUCCGAGAAGGGCAAUAGCUGGGUCAAAUGGUGGUUCCAUUCCCAGCUUUCCCAGGAAUCUCCAUACUGCUUUCCAAAUUUUUAAUAUUUUAUAUUUUAAAAUAGAAUUUCUUAUUGUUAUAAUCUCUUUAUAUUAACUUUCUACCAUCAUAAGCACUAUUUUUUGGCAGGGAGAGUACCAGGGAUUGAACUCAGGGUUACUUGACCACUGAGCCACAUCCUCAGCCCUAUUUUAUACGUUAUUUAGAGACAAGGUCUCACUGAGUUGAUUAGUGCCUCACAACUUGCUGAAGUUGGCUUUGAAGUCGCGAUCCUCCCAUCUCAGCCUCCUGAGCUGCUGGGAUUAUAGGUGUGUACUACCACGCCUGGAAAAAGUACUAUUUUAUUUAUAUUUUUGUUAUUAAAAAUGAAGUUUAAUUUUUACAAAUUAAAAUUCAACUACUUAGUGUUAAAAUAAAAGUGACUUUAUCUUAACUAAGAGAAUCAAAAGGAUGUGAAGAAAAAAUAUGAAAUAACAUACACUUUUGAGCCAUUUUGAGUACAUGUUCUUAAUAAUCUGGACUAUAGGCACUAGAGGCAGGUAGUUCAAACUCUCUGACUUCUUGCUUCAAAUAAUUGUUUUACUUGUGAAAAACAUAACUUGAGAGAUGCUAUGUAAAUGUUUCUGACACCCUACACCUGGUAUUCACGCCCUUAUUUGGUCCCCUUAUUCUACCAGGUUGACCUGUAUGACCAGUAGACUAUGGCAGAUGUGUUGCUAUGUCACUUUCAAGAUUAUAUUAUAGAAGGAGCUGCAGCUUUCAUACUGGUGUGUGUGUGUGUGUGUGUGUGUGUGUUGUGUCUGUCUGUCUCUCUUGGAUCACUUACUCUGAGAAAACCAGUUCUCUUGUCUCUAGAGACAUCUAUGGAAAAACCCACAUGGACAGGAAUUGAGGCCUCCCACGAAAACUCAUGUGAAUGUGCCAUUAUCGGAAGCAGAUCAUCCAGCCCUGCCAAGCCUUCCAAUGACUGCAUUUCUGGAUCCUAUCUUGACUGCAACCCGAGAGAUCCUGUGUGAGAACCACCCAGCCGAGGCACUCCCAGAGUCCUGAUUAAGAGGAGCUAGAUGCCAGUUGGAAGGAAGAUUGAGGAAUAAGAGAACUGAUGGAGGAUGGUGGGCUAGAAGGAGGCUGGGGGUUGGAGCCAGAAGAGUUUCCACUGGAAUCCUCUGUCAUGGACAUCUUGAAUAAGUCGGAGGAGAGGAGGCAGAAUCCCAAAUCCCAUGAGCCAACUCUGAAUGUGUAAGUCGACAGACCUAUCUUGCUCAUUCCUUCUGCUGAUUUUUUUUUCCCAAUGCCAAAAGUAGGACACGUCACUCCACUAUUCCACUAUUCAAAUUCCCUUGAGGCUACACUUAGUCUUCUCCAGCUGUCCUCUGUGACUCCCCACAGUACCUUAUCUUCAGGGAUAAUUUGAAAAACUGUGUGGGUAGAUCAAUAGAAAGUAAAAUAAAAGUUAUGUAUUCUGCUUAAUGUGAAGUAUUCCUAAAUGUAGAAAUUAUUUCAGAUGAGAAGAAGUUAUAAAACAAAUUACAGAUCAAAGUACACAGAAAAUUAUAAUGUAGUAAACCAAAGUUUAGUGAAUGUGCUUAUGUGCAAGGCACUGGGAUAAGCCAUCUACGAUAAAUGAAGGAAAGUGACAUAGUCCAUCCUUACCUAUCAUAGCUUGUAGUCUUUAGUAAGGAAAAUAAGAUAUAUAAAUAUAUGUCAUAUAUAUGUAUAUAUGCAUUGUAUUUGGAAAGAUAUGGUAAUAAUAUGAGAGAAUGAGGAUAUUUACUAAUGGAAAAAUCCUAAAUCUUUUAGUAAAAGAAACAUUUGAGCUGACCCUCACAUGGUGGGUAUUGAGAGAUGCAAUACUGAAGUGCAUUCUAAAUUGGGGGACAAACAUUUUUGGAGGCAGAAAAGGACCGACAGAAAACAAGUUGCAAUUAGCCAGUAAGUAGAGUACAGGGUACAUAUGGAACAAAGAGAAACAAGGAAAACUCUUGUUGGUUUUCAAUAGAGUCCUCUUCUCUCUUGGAUAGCUUGAUAAGUCCACCCUUCUAUCAGCCAAUCAUUUGUCAUCACUACUCUGCAGAUAAGAAGUAAGAGGCCAAGGACAGUAAUUGGCUUGGCUGAAAACAAGACCUGGAAAGUAAGAGUUAGGACUUGAAACUUUAUUUUCUUCUAUUAUAGUAACCAUACAUUUUCUACCGUGGAGUCUCAACAUUAACAAUGCUCACAGUGAAUGAUUUUGGUUUACGGAGAACUCACACUAUGCCACACAGUUUUCAUUUUCUUUAUCUUUUCCUUCAAUCUUCAAAAUUACCUAAAACGUAAAAAUUAUUAUCCAAAUAUUCAGGUGAGGAAGUGGUGGUGACUCAGAAAAAUUAUUUGAUACAUAAAAAUUAUGAAAAUGAAGGCUGAGAAAAGAAAUGGAGGGAUAAAUGGAAUGGUUUUGAAACAGGCUAAGAUAUCCGUAUUUUAUUGAAAAACUAAUAGGUGACCAAAGAGUAUAUUAGCUUAAAAUAUGAAUGAUCAUAAUGGUACUGUUAGUUCAAUCGUAAAAUUUUAAAAAAUAACAUUUUAAAAAUAAUGGUUGGGUUGGGGUGUAAUAGCUCAGAGUAUCUGCCUAGAAUGCAUGAGGCACUGAGUUCUAUCCCCAGCAACACACAAAAAAAGUGAGGGUUAAAAAUGUUUUUUAAAUAAAAUUUCAACCAGGAUUUGUGCUUCCCCCCUCCUUUCUCUCUUUCUGUGUAUGUGUCUUGAAAAUUAUUUUUAACUUUAAUAGUUAUAAAUUAAAAUUUAUAAAGUAUUCUUGAAUCCUCUCCUGUAGCACAUGGCAAUGAGAUGCUCUGGCCAACUUUAUUUUUAUGUUCUACAAUUCCAUGCAAACACAGAUUACCAGUUUCUACAGAAAGCAUGGCACCAUAAGAUGAACAAAAACAUAUUUUGAUUUUCUACUGGUGCUUUGGUCCUCCAUAGCCAGUUUCUGAGUGCCAAUUCCAUGAAAAUUACUGUGCUAGACAUAAAUCAGUGUAAGAUUCCUGUCCCUCCAAAAAUGCAGGCUCUUAACAUUCUCUGAAAGUUGACUUGCAAUGAAUGUCUUUAUGUCAGUUAUGUAGUAAGCUCUCAAUAAACACUGUUGGUUGUAUAAAUCAAUCACUGAUUUUAGUGAUAUGCAGAAGUAGUUAUUGACAAACAUUUAUGAAUAUCAUUUGCUGAAUGGCCAUGUUCAUUGGCAUUGGCAGCUCAUGAGAAUAAGGUACCACAGGACAUAAAUAUACCCUCAUAUUUUUUAUUCAUGAGGACUACUUUUUAGAUAACUCCACUUCAUACUAUUUCUUUAGUUACCAAACUAAUUGAAUGCAUUUGUAAAAGACUCAAAUGAUGAGAAUACCUAAAAUGUACUCUUUGUAAAUUUUUAAUAUACAAUAUAUUUUUAUUUAUAGUCCUUAUUAGAUGUCUAGACUGAUUUAUCCUACAUAAUUGCAAAUUUUCUCUUAUCAAAAAAAGGGGAGAGGCCUGUAAGAUGAAGUUUACAUUAGUUUGACUAUGAUAAUUGUUUCACUAUGCAUAUGUAUUUAAAAAUGUCAUGUAGCACACAUAAAUUUUUACAAUUUUAAAAACACAAUGGUAGAUAUAUAUAUACUUUUAAACUACAACAAAUAAUAUUAUAAUAAGGUUCUAGCAUACCAUACCAGUGAAAUGUUCAAGCUGCAAGAAAUAUUAAAUUUGAUCCAGCAUUGUCAGUGGUAUUUCUAAAUUAUUUUAAGAAAUAAAUUGCAAUUUAUCAGUAGUGUAGGUUAGAAGCUGUAUUUCAUCCAUUUCCCUUUCUUGUUUAUAUCCUCAUUAAAAUACAGCAUCUCAAAUAUAUAGCAUAUUUUAGCAUAUUUUUAUACUAUUCUAGUUACUCUUUUUUUACUGAAAAUGAGAAGUUUGAGUAUAGAUGGGAUUUAUUUCAUUUAUAUAAAACUACUCUAGUGAUUGCAAAUCAGACUUAAAUUUUCUCAAGUAGAUUUUCUCAAGUGAACUUCAUGAAGCUGAUCUUUUAAUCGGUGAACUAUUUUUCAAAUUGCUAAUUAGAUUUUAUGUAUUGUUUGAAAGACAUUUCUAUUUGCCAAUUCAGUUUUGUCCACAAGACAUUUUUGGGAACUGAAUUUUGAAGUUUGACCACACAAGUCUUGUCAGAGGAUACUUACAGAAAUAUGAAAAUCUUAAAACUGAAGAAUAGAUGUGCAUUAAAAUGGUAUUUCUCAAGGGAGACAGUUCUCAGAGUAAUACAAAGAGGAAAUUCAGGGCUUUCACCCUCACUCUAGGGCUCAGGACACCCUGCUAUAGGCACUAUUACUCCCCCUACCCAACCAAAGUAUGCUGUGUUAAAGGAAAUCACUAUUUUGUGGAUUGGAGCUUUUUUAUGUUUUCCCACGAAUAAUACAGCACAGAUUGUGUUGAGUUCUUCAAGUUCAGUAGUCGACAUACCUCUUGUAGAAGUAAAACGACAAUGAGGCCUAUAAACAUGUGCUUCUAGAAAAGCAUAUAUGGUGUUGCAGAAUGUUCCUGGCUUUUAGUAUGUUUGUUAUAAAUAUUCAAUAAAAUUUUGUCCAAAUUAUUUGCUGGAACACUAAUAACACUUUUCUGUUGAUUCAUUUAUCAUUGAAUUAUGGGAAAAAUCAAGCCAAGAAGAAUUUCUAAAGGACCUCAGUAGAUUUUAUAGAGGUGUACAUGAAACCUCUUACACUGUCUCAGAGAAAGAACUUUUAUCUGAGUUUAAUUAUUCCUACAGAUAAGUAUCACAGGUAUACUUUUCUGCUCUUGAUACAUUAUACAAGAAAUAUUCAUAAUAUUAUUUUAUAAAUUAUGACAAUCCUCAUGAUCGCAAUUAUCAAACAAUGAGAAACUUAGUAUCUAUUAUGAGUUGAGCACUCUUUUGGGUACAUCUCUCACCCUAAUAUCAACUCUACAGCCCAAGAGUUUCAUUAUGAUUUUAGAGAUGAGAAAGCAGGACUAUAAGUGAUUCAUGUUAUAAUUACAUAUUCGUAUUAUUAUUUCUUAUAAUACUAGCUAAAAAUUACUGACCUGGGGGCAGGGAGGGCUUCCUGAAGGAAGGAAAAUUGCAGAAAUGACCAGAGUGGGUAAUGAGUGAUUUGAAAGUAGUGCAGGGGCCAGGAAGGGAAACAGAGGUGGGGGAGCAUGCUUGUAUGGAGAACAGCUUAUACAAAGGCACAUUGGGAAGAGACUGUGGUUCUUUCUUAACCUGGGCCCAGCAGACAGAACUAAGAGCAGAGAUCCCAUUUCAGGAUGUAGAGUUUGGGAAAUAUCUUACCCUCCUGGAGCAUAAAUAUCCUAGUCAAAUUCCCCAAUAAGAGGGGAAUAAGUGAGACUAUAGUGGCAUUGUGUUUAGUGGAGAACAUAUUUCAUGUUUCAUACCAUGUAUUGCUUCACUGAAAGCUGUAUUACCAUCAUUUUUAAUCAUUUUGGUAUUUUUUCCUUAGAGUGCAAAGAUAUUUGUUUUUAUCACCCCUGUCUCCUGGUCUCUCCCUGGUGGGGAAAUGUGUUGGCGCUUCUGUCUCUGUUCUCUGGCUCCUCAUUUCUGGCUUUUGAGGGGGCAUGAUGAUCAGAUGGCCAUGAUUAGUUCUUUGGCUUGCAUUUCAGAUUAUCUAUUAAGUAGCCAUCUCCUCAGCCACUGAGACAUAUGGUCAGCACUUUCCAGGGCUUAAAAUAAAUCUGCAUUUUAACAUGUGGAAUUUUAUUAUGCCAAAGAGGGCUCAAAUGGGGUUUUAAUCUUGUUAUUGGUUGUGCUGCACAUGUUUACAUGUGGCCUUCUGGAAUAGUUCAGUCAUACAUUCAGCCCCUGGAACUUCUAGUUUACUGGCAUUACGUAGAUGUUCUGGGUGAAGAUGUCCUAGAAAGUAGUAUCCACCCUAAACUCUGCAUGGUGCAGGAAAGGAGAACAAGGGGAGGAGAAACUUGCCAUUGCUUUUUCUAUAGGUCAGGUAUUCAGGUUUUUAAUCAUACUUUUAUUUAAUGACAAACAGGAGGUUUAUUGACAGAAAAUUAGUUGAAGAGUAUUUUCUAGUAUCAGUAUAAACUUACUGAAGUCUCUUAAGUCAGGACUUUUUAAAAUCAUUUCAGGUGUGUGAUGGUUUCAAUAUGAAAUGUCCCCCAAAAGGUCAUGUGUGAGAUAACACAAGAAAAUUUAGAGGUGAAGUGAUUGGGUUAACCGCAUCAGCACAUUAUUCUUCUAGUAGGGAUUCACUGAGUAGUAACUGUAGGCGAGUAGGUGUGGCUCAGGAGGUCAUUGGGGGUGUGUCUUUGGGGCAUAAAUUUUGUGAGCUGAGCUUUGUCUCUCUUCCCUGCUUCCUUGUGGCCAUGUCCUGAGCCACUUUUCCUCACCAUGCUCUUCUGCCAUAAUGUCUUGCCUUACUUGGUCUCAGAGCGAAAAAGCUGGUUGUCUAAGGACUGAGACCUCUGAAACCAUGAAUGCCAAAGAAAUUUUUCCUCCUCUAAAGUUGUUCUUGUCAGGUCUUUUGGUCCCAGGGGUGACAAAGCUGACUAAAACAAGGUGUGGCGUGUCAUCAAAAUUAAUAACUAGCACAGAAAAAAAAUAACAUCACCAAGCUCAGAUAUGCAGUCUCUGGAGACGAAAGAUUUGGAUUUGGAUUCUGAUUUCAGAUCCCCUGCCUAUUUAUUUAUUUUUUGCUUUUUUCACCAUGAACAAGUUAGUAAUCCUUUACAAGGCUCAUAAUACUACUGCCUUCAUUUUUGAGUGUUGCCAGGAUUAAAUGAGAUAAAGCAAGCAAAGUGUUCAGCGCAGCACUGACACCUGGUAAAUAUUCAAUAAGUGGUAGCUGUUGUGGUUGAUCCUGCUGAUUCUUUUAAAAAUUCAUAAGGAUUUAUAAUAUAUAAACUAGGUACAUUCACAUAGAUCAGGACAUUUCUAUGUAGAAAUGAAUGGAUAGAUAUGUAUGUAGUUAUGCUUUUAUAUACUUACUGUGAUGUACAGUCACGAUCAAGAUUAAGAGCAUAUUUAUGUGUGUAGCAUUGCAGAAACAUUAGCUAACGCAUCAUGAUCGUUCUGAGUUCCGCCCUGUGUGUUUCAUAUUAAUUAACUCAUAAUAAUUCUGUGACGUAGAUCUACUACACACAUUAGCAAGUGAGGAAACAGAGGCCCAAAGAUGAGAUCAUGCUGCUUAUAAACUAACAGACGUGGUAUUUGAAUACAGACAAUCUGUCUCAGGUCUAUGUUCUUAACAAAAAUGCUGUCUGAAUUCCAAUGAUAAACUCUUAAGUUAUAGGGAUAAACACAAACUGCAGUUGGUGAAUGUGUGUGUGUGUGUGUGUAUGUAUGUGUGUGUGUGUGUGUGUGUGUAAGUUUGCAUGUAAGUAUUCAUUGCCUGAAAAUGCCACUGUAUGAUGAAUUUUGUAGAGUUAUCUCUUCCUUUAUGAUGCUCUUGACGUCCAUAGCCACAUUUACGUUUUUUUUCUGUUUGUGGUUUGCUUUUCCUAGCAGGUUAAUUGAAUUAUAUGGCACAUCAUAUGCAAAAUGAGUCACUAAAUUGAAACCUCUCUCUGUUGCCCAGCAAUGGAUGAUUGCUUCACAUUGCCUGAAGUUAUGCUUAACCACAUCCUUAGGCAUUAUUCUCCCUGUUUUUUUUCCUCUCACCCCACUCAAGUUACUUGUACAGUGGCUCUGUAUCCAAUUACAUAUCAUCGAGUGGCAGGAGGAUGGCAUUAAUAUGGAUUAACUGUGUUCCGCAAGCCCGUUGGUGAUCUUUGGCUUUUGAUGCUGUAUAAAUGGAUGUGUCAGUUAAAAUGUGUGCCUGGCUGCAUUUAAUAGCAAUCUCACAAUUGUAGCUUAAACUAAGAGGAAUUUAUUUUCCUCAGGUAUCUGUAGGUGGUGCAAGAGCCGCUUUUCCAGUGCUAGCUCAACAGAUUCCUGAGUCCUCCAUGUGCCACGCCCCUGUGUCACCCCACUCUGACAUCUUUAGCUGGUGUCUUUCCUCUUCUAGUUUAUGUCUCAGAGUCACAAAAUGGCUGUUUCAUCUCCUACCUCACAUCCCAAUUCCAGAUAUGAAAGUUCCAGGUGUUUCUCUCUGUAUCUUUGGAUCUGAACUAUCCCAAAAGUGGCAUUGAAACAGUGAACCUGGCACAUUGUUAUCCUACCCCCCCCAAUCCAAGUUCUCUUGUUAAGAAGUAUAAAUGUGAAUUGGGUGAUCAUCUGGUAAUGUCUGUCACUACUUAAAACUCUUAUUGGAAGGAUGCCAUACUAUUUAGUGUGCUGCAACCUUCAAACAACUCAUAUUUAUAAAAUGCCUACUGUGAGCUUGGAGAUACAGAUCAAUGAGCACCAUUACUCUGUUGCUAUAAGAAGCUUGCCAUCCAGAAGACAGGAUCUGUGGGCAAGCAAGUAAUUGCAACAUACUAUGACAGAGGUACCCUGUGGGAGCUUUGGUGUGUCAAUGGUUGGGACAAUAUUCACAACUCUAGCUCUUACAGAAGGAAGAGGGAAUCUCAACAGCUAGUAGUAAUAGUAACAAAUGAUUUGCACUGCAUUAUAACUACAUGACAUAUUUUUCUAAAUUAUAUAGAAAUCAUUAAUAUAUAUUAGAUAGAUAUAUACAAAUACUACUCACUUCAGCUUGGUUUUUUAUUCCAUUUACAUCCAAGUAAUGUGAGACAAGAAUUGAGUUAAAUAACUUGCCCAAUAUCAACUACUUAGAAAAUUGCAGAGCUGGAGCUAGAGUCAGUGGCACAUGCCUGUAAUCCCAGCAGGUCAGGAGGCUAAGGCAGGAGGAUCAGAAGUUCAAAGUCAGCCCCAGCAAUUUAGUGAGGCUUUAAGCAGCAGGCAGACCCUGUCUCAAAAUUUAAAAACAAAAAGGGCUGGGGAUGUGGCUCAGUGGUUAAGUGUCUCUAGGUUCAAUUACAGGUACCAAAAAAAAAAGAAAGAAACAGAACUAGGAUUGGAACCCAGUCAGUAUGCUAUAUGCUAUCAGUAUUCUCUUAAUUAGCAACAUAUAUUUGUACUAAGGACGCACCAUUUGUAUUGGUUUUAUUGUUUGUCCAAAACUUUCUUUGCUUAUUAAUAAUAUAGAACCCUCUGAUCCUUUCAGCCUUCAUUGUAUUUUAUAAGGUGGUCUUGCCCAGGAUUGUCAGGUGUUGGUUUGGUCACCUAAUUGGGACAAAGAAGAAAACCAUGCUAGAAUGUGUUCAGAUAGGAAAUGACAAGUCGCAGUUCACCAAAUGUUCACAUUUCUUGUGGCUAUGAAAUGAAGAGCUUUGUCAUUCUUUAGCAGAUAUACCCACUUUACACCUAAUUUUAACUAUAAUUCUGUCAUCACUCAUAUGAAUAAUCAUAUUUCCAGAGAUGCUCUCUGCUUGCCUUUCCUGGCCAGUCUUGGCUAUAACAGCUUCCAUAUCUUGGCUCAAAUCUCAAGUUUUGUGACCCUCCUUUCAAUAAUCACAGCACAGAAAGACUUUCAGAAUGGCCCCCAAUGUCCUACCGCCUUGUGAAAUAUCCUCCUGGGUCUGUGUGGCAUACCUGUGAUUGUGUUAGAUGGAUGGAACUCCUCUCAUAAUUAGCUUUUAUUAUUUAGCACAGUCAACUUGAAGAAAGGAGAUUUUGUUCAUUGGGCCUGACCUACUCAAGUGAGACCUUAAAAACAAGGAUCUUCCUGAGGACAGAGAUUUUUAACCUCUGUUCAGUGUGGUAUGAUGUUCAAAUAACUCAUGCUUAUAAAACGUGAGUUUCAACAGAUAGGAGAUUCUCCAUUGGUGUCUUUAAAAAGUAGAGACCACAUGGCCAGGAGCCGUGGGUGACCUCUAGUUGCAGAGAAUGGCCACACACUGACGACCACCAAAACUAAAUUUAAAAAAAAAUAGGAAUCUUAGUGUUAUAACUGCAAGAAUUAAAUUCUGCUACAACUGCAUGAGCUUACAAGAGGACCCUGAGGUCCAGAAGAGAGUGAAGUGUUUUAUUUUUGUUAUCUUUUGCUGUGUGCUAGAAAGGCUUACCAGUGUCCUGACAUAGUCCACACCUUCUAACAUCCCCUACGAUGACUACCGAGAAGAUUAAAAGCAAACACCAUGUGGUGCAUUGAUUAGCAGCCAUGGUUCUAUGGAACAAGGACAAUGUCCAAGGUGAAGGAAAUUUUAAAAAAAUCCAAAGUUAGUAGACCGUGCACUAAAGAUUUUCCACAUAGUGAGAAACACAAUUUUAUGCUCCUUGUCUUGCUGGGUGAAGUACAGAUCCCGUGGAGAAGGUUGAGGAGGCAAAUACUUUUUCUGUUGGUUUCUGCUUCAAGGAGUUCUCUGGCAAUUUAUUUUAAUCUUCAUUAACAUAUGAAGAUUGAGUUCAGGGUUAAAACAUAGUAGAUGUCAUUUAACCAGAAAACACAGUGGUUUCACAUGGGGAGAGAAAGGCUAAAGCCUUAGUGGUCCUGUGCUUUUUGGUAACUAUUUGCAAAGUUGGAAUAAGUCACCUGCCUGUGAUAAAAUAUGACCCUCACUCACUCUGGUAAAUUGCUUGUGCCCACUCACAUUUAGAGGUCAUUAAUCUUGUUUCCUUUUAUGGAUGGACAUUCCGCACAUUCCUCACAAUUGAUUCAGCUUAUCCUUUAGAGUUGUAUAAAAAAUUCAAAAGUGCAGUUGGAGAAAAAUGUCACAUCACAAGGGUACAAGCUGAAAAUUGUUAUCUUUAUCUCGAAUAGAGAGAAAUAGGCAUUUGCAAAAAAGGGGCUGUGGAAAGGAUCAGAGGAACAAGACAUAUGUAGCCAAUAAAUAAUUAUAAUCUCAUAACUUAAAAGGGACUUCUAAGACCUACACAACAUAGGAGUUCCCCUUUCCAUAUGGAUAAGGAAACAGUCCAACAGGACACGACUGAAAACAUCCUAGAUAAAGGGGGACUAACUGUCCUAUUUUAUGAUCUUUUAUUCUUUUAUGAUCCUGUUACCACCUAAGAGAGCUCCUCAGUUUGAAGAUAGCUAUUUUGCAAUUGUCAGAGUAUGUUAUAGAUUUUUCUGAUUUUAAUUUCUUCCUUAUAUCCCUUCUCCCCUUUCCUCUAGAUAUAAUUUACUGAAUGUUAGUAGGCACUUAGCACAUUUUUCUAGAGUGUCAAUUCAAUGAAAUCCUGGCUCCAGUGAUUAGAAUUGGUGAUACCACCAGCUUAUCACCCAUGCGACUGCAAGAAUAACUAAAAUACAGGUUCUGUAUACAUGGCCAUGAUAGUAAUACUCUGUAUGUUCUUUCUUUUUGAAUCCUUCUCCUCAUCCCAAUACAGUUUUGACAAUGAUUGUUUUUCCCCAAAUACCUAAUGGAGCAUCCAAAUUAAACAUGUUGAAACAUCUGGUCAGCUAGAAGGAAAAUUGCUUAUACCUAUAAUAUAGGCCAUAGAGUCGGGGUGCACUCCAGCCUUGUAGCCUUCCUCAUCUUCCAUUGCAAUUGAGAACAUAAAGCCACCACACAGUCAAUGAUGAACCCAACCAGAGUAUGUUAAUUAUAACCAAAGCAACAUUCCACAGAUGUUCAAUCAGGAGGAAGAGAGUCUAUGCUGGAGAGCAAACACAAGGGGAUUUAAAAUCACAUCAUAAUCAAACGAAUAAAUAUUUGAUUUUCUGUGAUGUGCAGGGCCUGAAAAUAAAUGUGCUAUAUUUGUUAGAAUUUCCCUCUCAAGAUGAUCACCCCUUGUCACUGUAGAGCCAGGGCAAUGCUUGAUUACUCUGAUUUCCUUUUGAAAUGGUUUGUAUGUCAAUCAAAAUGUUGACAAAUAAUUAUUCAGUCAGUUUUUGCUUUCUUUUGAAUUUGUCUAUAAUUGUUGCCACUCAUGUUUGAAAUUGAUAUAAGCUAUUGGCUGAAUAUAUUUAUAUGUCAGAGCUUGGAGGACGAAAGGUGUGUCUGCUAAUUCUUUCAACUUCAAGCGAUGUAGAACUAUGCUUGUAAAUUGCAUUGUCUCAUAGUUUACAAAAGUGCAUGAAUUUCUAAACAGUUUUUUAAAAGAUCCCCCACAUAGUCUCAGAGUUUCUACUUCCCAAAAUGUGUCUGUCAUAUUCCUAGGAGAUGUUACUUCUUAUUUACAUACUUAAAUUUUCAUUUAAAAUAAUAAAUUAUGAUAAUUAGUGCAAACAAAAAGGUGUCAUUAUAACCUAAUGGUUUUAAAUGCUUCAAAAUGAAUUCUUUGGGACAUAUUUUUGCACGGUUGACUUCAUCUUGUAGGGGUAGAAGAGGCCAAGGUGUCCAUUUCUAUUUGAAUAUAUUGAUGUGCUUGCGGGACACACUAAAGCUCCAAGUGGAGGAAGAAGAGAUGAUUUUGUUCUGUGAAUUUUGAUAUGGUAGAGCUGAUAUGCUGAACAGUAGAGCGCUGUUAGAAUCUGUAACCUAAGUAGGGAAAAAUGGAAUUUAUCAGUUGGAAGGAUGAUGAAGAGCCCUGGGAAGUAGUGAAUCCAGAUCUCCAAGAAGAUGUGACUAAUUGUUCUGUGAGGUGUGGUGCACUUAUGCUUUUCACUACUUAUGAGUUUUUCAGUCAGUUCUCAGUCUCUUAAUCUCUUAAUAGUACUCUGUUGAACUCUAUCUAUUGGGGAAAAUGGAAUAAAAUGAGAAUUAUGGUCCAGGGAAGGCACAGUGUAAGGGGCCACGGUAAGUUGCCACUUGAUCCCCCAGCCAGGUUUUCAUAUUGAUCUCAUAUUUGUAUCAGCACAGGAAAAACUGAUGGAAAAUUUUAAAAAUAAUUAUUAUGAGAAUUUUACUAUUUCAAAGAUAAAUUAUUACAAUUGGUUUUCUGGGAGAAUAUGGAAAUAUAAUAUUAUCUUUCUUCCAAAAGUUUGUCAUGUAUGUAUGUAUUGUGUUUUCUGGUAAGGAUAGUAAAUAUGAUAUAAAGUAAAUAUAAUGCAAUGAAAAUGGAUAGAAUAUGGGUUUAGUAUUAUAGAUAUAUUUUCAAAAGAAAAAUUAUAGAUAUAUUUUCAAAAGAAAAAUAAUUAGUAUUCCACAGCUUUGCUGUGGAAUAUUUCAGGGUUCUGGGAGUGCCCUGAAAUCACUAAGUUAUAAAGGACCAAGAGAAAGGUAUCCUUUUUUUUCGCCCUUCAAAACUUCUGAUUUUAAACAAAUAAGAAUGAGAAGAACAGGGAAAAGUAAAAUUGUAAGUCUAAGCUUUAUCUUCUUAUUUGAGACUAUGCCUUUUAAAUAAUUACUUCAAUUUGCUAUUUAAUUAAACAAUACAAUGAUUCAUAUUUAAUGCAAUGCUUAAUUAAAUGGUUAUUGAUUCGCCAUAGUUAUAGGCAAGCACUCCACCACUGAGAUGCAUUCCCAGCCCAACUUGUCAUAGCUGUAAUUAGUGACAUGUGUUGAAUAUUCUUGCACAGCAUCACAGAGGGAGUACCAUACAAAGAUAGUGCAGGAUGCCUCCAGUGGGCACAUACUAUAUCAUACAGCCAUGUUCUGUGUUCUUGUAUUUGCCAUGUUGCCGAACACAGGGUUACAUACCUGGGUUCUACAAUGUCUGGUCUGUUGAAUUGAAAUUGUUAAAACAAAAAUAUUUUUUAACUAUUUAUUUCAUCAACAUCUUGUAGAGAAAAAGAACAUCUGAUCAGAAGUCUCAAUUUGUGGUUGAGAAUUCUAUAGUAACUCAAUAAAGCAAUGCAUUAUCUCUUUUGUUAUAAUUUUGUAUACUUCUUACUUCUGCCGACCAGGGUAACCACACAGCAUUGUUAAUGAAGAGAUGGAGAGAGCCCAUGUUGGAGAGCACAUUUAACAGACAGUGAGACAGAAAUUUGGUGGGUAAGAUGCUGUGCUGGGCAGCAGGAACUACAUUGGUAAUUCAGCCAGAUUUGAGUUCAGUUCAGUAGGAGCUGCAUUUUUGAGUCUGCUGUGUGUUUCUAGUCUGAUAUGUACAAGGUCAGGCAGGGGAUUAUAAUGUAGUCUUUCCUCUUGACAAGAUUACCAUCUUGAUGGAGAAAUCAAGAAAAUAGGGAUUAGGGGGAUAGAAAUAAAGCUAGUGACAUGAAAACUGUGCUUUAGAAUUCAAAUGGGUGAUUACUUGGUAUGCUGUAGGGAUGAAAGAAGGCUCCGUGGAGGAAAUCAGAUUGAGGCACAUUCCUGGAACUUGAUGCUGCACGGGAUAAGAAAGGGCAAGGGAGGUAGUGCAGCUAUUGGGAGCAAAGCCAAGAAGCUGCAGUGCAAAGUGAUCAAGUUAUCAGACUUAAUCACCUCAUCACAGAGGCUUCUCUUAAGUGUUCAGUGACAAAAUGACUUGAUAAUGAUGGUCUUUGCUCCCCCUAGCAGGAGGCAGUCUCUGUUUGGAGAGCAGAGAUAUUGAACUCAUAGGUUCUAUCUGAGCAGUUUGUCCUGAGCACAGGUGCAGUUGUUGAGUACAGACUCUGGCUGUGUUCAGGAACCAAAAACCACAGAGGAGUAGAAGACAGGUAGGAUGUGGUAGACUAGAUACUGUCCUCACUAGAGCUUAGGCAGAAUAGAUCUGAUAAUGCUAACAUGGGAGCUAUGGGAUUCUCUUGACCCUAUCAGCUGUCCCCUAUGGGGACACCAGCAGUUCAAUAUUUUGUUUUGAUUUUUUAACAAGAGCAAAAUACAGUAGCAUCUCAGAUACUAGAUAUUUUCAUUUUACCAAGAGUUGACAUCAAUAAGUUUUUUUCUUAUUUUCUUUAUAGUUUCAUCAACCUGUCAGAAUCACUUGUUUUGAUUGUUGCUGGUUUUUUGUUUGUUUGUUUGUUUUUCUUUGUCUUUAAAAUAGGAGGUAAUGUCUCAUGGUGGUAAAAAUCAUGGGUUUUGUGCUAGACCCUUCUGAGUGUGAAUCUGGCUUCUCUUUCCUAACGAUUGUAUUACUUUUGCAAAGAGCCUAACUAAUAUGAUGCUCAAAAUUUAAAACUCUUAAAUAAAGAUAAUAACAAUGUAUGCUUAUUAAAGAAACUAGAUUCACCACAUAAUAGUAAUUAGGACCUAGAUAGGCCUGAGAACUAGUCUCUGGUUUGAAUUUCUGUUCUGCCUACUAAAUAGAUGACAUAGGAAAUUUAUUUAACCUCCUUGUCUCAGUUCAGUCAUCCGAAAAAAUAGAAGAAAUAAUGGUUACAACUUCAUAUGAUAGUCUUAAGGGCUGAAGGAAUUAAUAUUUUAUUAAUAUUAUGCACAGAAUCAAGUAUUUAAAAAUAGCUAUUACUACUUGAAGGACUGUUUUGUGAAGGCAGAGGAUAAUAUUAGUAUAGUGUUUGGCAAACAGGAAUAUUUAAUGAGCUACAGUAUUUGAGCUUAUCAGAAAGCUCAAAUGUUUUCUGAGUCCACAGUCUCAGGAAUUUAUUAGCAAAUAAUUAAAAAUUAAGGUACUCAAAAAACUGAAUUGACUACACUGAUUUUAAUCUAAUUAUAUCAUAGUAUUUUUACUUCUAUAAUCCUAAGAUGCUUUAAGGAAACAGAACACAUAGAGAAUUCACAAUCAAAACAAAGGCUUCUACAAAGGACAAGCUAUUAUCUCAUUUUACAGGCCCAAAUGACACAGACAACAAAACAAAGCAGAAACCUAAGACUUAAGUAGACUACAAAAAGUACAAAGCUAAUUGUACGGGAAUUUAUGGGACCAACCCAGGAUUUGAAAGCACUCUGAGGAAACAUAGGCCUGAACUCUGGUGACCCCAAAGCAGAAAUAGUUGUAGGGACCAGGGUAGCUUUGAAUGUGGACCUACCCUUUCUAUGUUUGCUGUUUUUGCCUCAUACAACAACUUCUUUAGCUUUCUGAUGAGAAAAUCAGGGCUUAGAAAUGGGAAAUGUUAGCUGGGCGAUCCCAGCAACUCGGGAGGUUGAGACAGAUGAAUGGCAGGUUUGAGAACAGCUGUGGCAAUUUAGUAAGACCAUGCCUCAAAAUGAAAUUAAAAGGGCUGGGGAUAUAGUUCAGUGGAUUCAAUUCUCCAUACUGGAAGGAAAAAAAAAAGAAGAAGAAGAAGAGUUUAGAAUUAGGAAGUGUUAUUGCCAAGUUCAUAUCAUUUAUCUGCAGUUCAGAUCUGUUAAAUCCAGGCCUCAAUCCUCUAGGUACCUCUUCCUUCCCCCUGAGUCAUGCUGUGCCUCCCAUCAAUCUAGGUCUUCCAGAGUUUAUUUCAGAAUGCUCUCCUAUUGCUUGGGGUUGGUCAAGAGUUCUAUAAAGUCAUUCUGUUACAAUGUCUGUGACCCAUUCCCUACAAAAGUAAUAUGAGAAUUGAUUUGUAACUUCUCAGGCAGAAGUUUGUUCUGCCUAUGCAUUUAAUGUUCUAGAAUUCAAAGUUACUCUAGAUCUCUGUAGAUAGUAACUACAUUAUAACCUCCUCCAGUUUGUGGAGAUGAGGGGAAAUGAGAGGAUUAGAGUAUAUCCCAUUAUUACAGGCUUUUGUUUGAUUUAAAAAAAAAAACAAUAGGAUAGAGUUAGCCAUGGACUCUCAUACAGAGUAUAGAAGUAUUUUCUAAUAAUAUCUAAAAGUAAAAAAAAUAUUUAAAAGUUAAUGAAUAAAGCAUUAGGGUAUGUAUUAGGGUUCUCCAGAAAAACAAAACCAAUACAUUUUUUGCAUCUAUCAACUGAGAGAUUUAUUUCCAAUACUUGACUCAUGGUCUUGUGGAGACUUGUAAGUCCAGAACUUCAGGGUUAAUAGCAGUCUGAAGACCCAAGGAAAAGUUGCAGUGCUGUUCUAAAGACCAGUGAAGGCCAUUUGCUAGAAAUGGUAGCUCCCAUCUUCCUCAGAGGAGGUCAGUCUUUUUUGUUGAGGUCUUCCAUUGAUGGAGUGAGACCCAUAUGCAAUAUUGAGGGUAGUCUGCUUUACUCAGAGUCAAUUGAUUCAAAUAUUAAUCUCAUAUGCAAAAAUACCUCCAUGGAAAUACGUAGAAUUCUAUUUGACUUUGGCCUAGUCAAGUUGACACAUAAAAUGAAUCAUCACAGGUCUAUCCCUUGUCAGAUGAGCACUCAGAACCCUUUCCUGCUAUGUUAUAAAUCUUAAAUGUCCCCCUAAGGGCAUGUGUUAAAGGCAUAGUACCAAUCUGGCAGGUACCGUUGGGAGGGUGGAAACUCUAGAAGGAGGGGCCUAGUGGGAUGUGCCCAUGGGAACAUGCCCUUAAGAAGGACAGCAAAAACCCACCCUUAUUUCUCACUUCUCCUAUUUAGCAUCCCGGCCAUGAGGGGAGUAGCUCUGAUCCACUAUGUGCUCCCCAACAUGAUGUGCUACUUCACCUCGGGUCCAAGAGCAAUGGUGCCAACUGAUCAUGGACUGAAACCUCUGAGACCAUGAGACAAAAUAAACCUUUCCUCUUGAUAAGUUGGUUAUUUAUUCAUUACAGUAACAAAGCUGCUGAACAUGUCUCCUUAAACCCUGCUUAGACUACAAAUAGAGACAAUAAGAAGGCCAUACCUCUGCCUAGCAUGAUGUGACUCUCCUGCAUACAACCCAAACCAGACAGACUCACCCCCCAAAUGAUGUGUAGUCCUGGAAAGUCUUUGUGAUGUUUACUCUUCUCCUUGAUAACCUUUCACUUAAAUAUAAUGAUGUAAAUAUUAACAGUGUUUAUACUAUUAUAUAAAGUUAGCACAUCAUCUUACGUUACGUGAGGAAGGAAUAGGAUAGGUUUAGAUGUGAGGUGUCCCCUAAAAGCUUACAUGUGAGACAAUUCAAGAAGUUUCAGAGGAGAAAUGAGUGGAUUGUGAGAGCCUUAACCCAACCAGGGAAUUAAUCCCUUGAUAGGGAUUAACUAUAUGGUAACUGAAGACUGACAGGGUGUGGCUGGAGGAAGUGGGGCAUUGGAGGUGUGGCUUUGGGGUAUAUGUUUUGUAUCUGGCAAGUGGAGUCUCUCUCUGCUGCCUGAUCAUGCUGUGAGCUACUCACCUUUGCCGCACUCUUCCACCAUGAUGUCCUGCCUCACUUUGAGCCCUUAGGAAUGGAGAUGAGCACUUAUGGACUAAGACUUCUGAAACUGUGAGCCCCUGAAUAAACCUUUCCCUUUCUACAAUUGUGCUUCUCAGGUCAUUUAGUCACAGCAGUAAAAAAAAUCUGACUACUACAUUAGGGAAUAAAAGAUAUUGAAGAUAUUGCACACUCAAACAUAUAACGAGAAAGAAAUAUUCAAGACAAUAACUGUACUCAUUUCUAUAUUGGUUACAUAUAUAACUGAUAUUUCUAACUACCUUCUUCUGUUAUCCAUUAAGUAUGUUUCUUAUCCUCAGCAAGCUCCUCAAAUGGUCAUAUUUUUUUUUGCCAGGUUAGGUGACACAGACUUUAAAUCUUUGAAGGGUCUAGGCCAUUAGUACUCCUGCCUGAAUCGAUUGUUAUAACUUUCACUGGAUUUCAUCAUAGGACUUGGUAAUACUAAGUGAUGUCUUUUUUUUUUUUUUUUGAGAGAGAGAGAGAGAGAGAGAAUUUUUUUAAUAUUUAUUUUUUAGUUCUUGGAGGACACAACAUCUUUGUUUGUAUGUGGUGCUGAGGAUCGAACCCGGGCCGCACGCAUGCCAGGCGAGCGCGCUACGGCUUGAGCCACAUCCCCAGCCCCCCAAGUGAUGUCUUGAGGAUCCUCUGUAUUUCGGACAUGUUCCUCGUUAUCCUGGUUGUAGAGUAGUGGUUUGAUUUUUCUUUGGUGGUCAGAAUCAGUCACCUCAGCCAGCAUAGUCCCUCUCUUUUCUGCCUGUUGAUUCAGAGACAAAAGGAUCUAAAGUCAUCAGGUGGCACUUUUAACUUCUGAUUCAAUGGAAACAUCAUUGUGUCUCCUGUUAGAAGCAUUCCUUUCUUUGGAAAUGAAACUUCUAGUCAGCAGAACAUAAGGAAGAAAAAGCAAAAAAAAAAAAAAAUGUCAUUUUUGGGUCACUGGUGCCACUUCCAUUUCCACCCCUUGAUUCUGGGACCUGUGUAACCUGGCUGUGGGAAAAACAGCCCCAUGUUCAUGUUUUAGAUGCUAAUUUAGAGAAUCUAAAGUCUUUUGAGUGAAUUUUUUUUCAACCCUGCAAGGCAUUGUUACCUACCAAACACCGUAACUGAGUCUUCCCAAGGUCAUUUUUCUGUUCUAUCAAUCCAGCUGCUUCACGAUGGUUGGGAACAUGGUAAGACCAGUCCAUUCCAUUGGGCCCAUUGCCAAACUUUGGUUUCCAUGAAGGAAGUAAGUUUCUUAAUCAGAGACAAUGCUGUGUGGAUGACAGUGAACAGGCAUUCUGUAAGUCCACAGGUGGUGGAUUUGGGCAGAAGCAUUAUAGGCAGGGAGGGUGAAUCUGUAUCCAGAAUAAUCAUCUGUUUCCCUGAGAAUAAUAUACUUUACUGCCUCUUGCAUGUCAGAAGUGCUACAAUUUAAUCAGCCUGCCACCAGGUGACAGGCUAAGCCCCCUGGAAAGUGGUGUCCUAUUGUGAUCUCUGCUGCUGGAAGAUUGUGUCAACCAUGGCAAUAGGCAGGCUGGCCUUGGUGAGUAGACAUCCAUGUUUCUGAGCCUAUGCAUAAGCUCCAUUCCUGGAACCAUGACCACUUUGUACAUGGAUACAUUGGGUAAUGAUAGGGAUGUCUAGGGGAAGAGGCUGACUGGCAUCCACAGAAGGAAUCAUCCUAUCUAGUUAUUAAUUUACUCCUUUUCCAAGUUCAUCCUUUGGUGAGCAUUCACAUGGGACACAAUAUCUCAUAUUUUGCCUGUUCCAAGAGAUCUGUCUCAUAGCUCAUCCCAGACAUCCUUGUCACUAAUUACCUAAUCAUGUUCAGUACAAAUCCCUGACUCUCCAGCCAAAUUAUUGGUCAAUCUCUUUCCAAGUAAAGCAAAUAACCAGGUGAAAUAUUCACAGUAUGUGUGCUUAAAGGAUUUCCUUUCACCACUAUCCUUUAAGAAUGUUUCAGAAAAGGGCCUUAAUUCUAUGCUGUCUACUUUAUGUACCUGAAUAUCAUGCAGAGCUAUCUGUAAAUCAGUCUCAAGUCUUCCCUUUUUCUGUCAACAGAUAGUUGGGAACUUUGAGACCAGAGGUACUGAUUUUGAGAGAUAAGGUAAAAUAGCAGGAGUGGGGACUAUUGAUAUUAUUUUAGACACUUCUAGGUAUAAUUUACUUGUGCUUUCAGGAUGAGCCUGAUAAUGCAUAUACCACUGCUGUUUGGUGAUGGAGUGUCUCUGGGCACAUCAAACUUUAUGGCUUUUUACAUCAGAUAAAUACCCAGUUCAUGAUGGACAGGUUGCAUGGCAACUUGAUGGGCUAUUAUUAAGUAUCCAGUCUUUCCUAGGGCUUAUUGCCAGUCUAAAAGCUGUUUCUGAAAAGGAAAGUAUAUGUCAGCUGAGGAUGGCAGGGCUUUGGUUCACAUUCUAAGAUUCUAUGCUAUGAUCAGCCUAUUUGGGUCUGCCAAAGAUCACAAAUAAGCAUCUCUAUUUGCAGUUGCCACUUUGCUUACAUUGAAUCUGCUGAAUCAUGUGGCCCAAGGAGCAGAGCAACGUGCGUGGCAGCCUGCACCUAUUGCAGAGCUCUCUCUUAUUCAAGACUCCAAUCAAAACCUUGGCAUUUUGGGUCCCUCUGUAACUAGCCUAGAGUGGCACACCCAAAUUAUGAAUCUAUUACUCCCAAAUUCAAAGAGGCCCAAGAAGCAUAGAUUUAAAGUGGUAGUUCAGGGAAUUAGAAAGGGCUCUGACAGUCAUUUGGUUGGCUCAACCAUGGACAAACAAGUACAUUUGAUUUGUUCAAAAAGUGAUCCAUAGUAAAUGAACUUGAAAUACCAGACCUACUGUCUAACAUUUCAGAGGAAGCGAUUCAAAGGCAUGGGGAGAAUGGUAUGGUAGAGUGGAAUUGUCACUGAAGAUCUGCUUGCUAAUCUUGGGAUGAUUCAUACUACAGCUAUGAGAAAUACAAUUGUGCAUCCUGGAAGCAUCUUGGAAGAGCUCUGAGACUGCUCUUCUCUGAAGACCAGAAACUGGUCACUGCUGCCACUGACCUGAGAAAUUUAAAUACAAUGGAAGUAAUGAGUAUUGGAGUAGCAGGGACCAAGUGUACAGCACUCAGUUGCCCCAAGGUGGCAUAAUUACCAGCAUGAUGAGUAGACUCAAAGCAACAAUUAGAAUAGAUUGACUUGGGCAGAACUGUAGCAUCUGAUAUUCAAUCACUGAGUUUCUUUUUUUUUUUAUUGGUUGUUCAAAACACUAUAAAGCUAUUGACAUAUCAUAUUUCAUACAUUAGAUUCAAGUUGGUUAUGAACUCCCAAUUUUACCCCAAAUACAGAUUGCAGAAUCACAUCGGUUACACAUCCACAUUUUUACCUAAUGCCCUAUUAGUAACUGUUGUAUUCUGCUACAUUUCCUAUCCUCUACUAUCCCCCCUCCCUCCCCUCCCAUCUUCUCUCUCUACCCCAUCCACUGUAAUUCAUUUCUCUCCUUGUUUAUUUUCCCAUUCCCCUCACAACCUCUUAUAUGUAAUUUUGUAUAACAAUGAGGGACUCCCUCCAAUCACUGAGUUUCUAAAUGUUAGCAGCUGGGGAACCUACUAAAUUCUUUAUCUGUAUAAGUGAAAGAGUUCUAGGUCAAGUGAACAAAAGACUAACCUGAAGCACAAAACAGUGAGUCAUAACCCUCUGUUGAUUCCCAGAUUUGAGGCAGUAUACUCGUCCAAACUCCUUGAAUGAAGGGGAGGCUGGGUUCCCUUAGGGAAGAACCCUGCUCCACUAUUAGAAUAUAUACUGAUAAUCUUCCUUAUCCCUCUCCACUGGGAAUCAUAGUGUUUUAUCAGGGUGACUGUAUAUUUGGAAAAAGAAAAUAAUUAGAUCUUUAGAGGAUUGUCAGACACUGACUCUGAUCUGUCAUUAAGUCCAGGAGACCUAAAAUGUUACUGAUCCAUUAGACUAGACAGAGGGAGGGCCUAUGAAAGUCAGAUGCUCAAUGCAGUUUAGUUCAGUACCAUUUUGAAGCCAGUCCAGUGGAUCCCCAAACCUAUCUUGUGGUUAUUUCCUCAUUUCUAGAAUAUUUCAUUGUACAGACAUCCUCAGCAACUGGUAAGAGUUCCCAAAUGUAAAUAAGAUACUCUUCUUAAUUCUCAAAGACCCUAUACACUGAGGAAUGAGAUAGAUAUUUUUCCAUAUCUG
Marmota monax (woodchuck) is the source of this 28745-nucleotide long non-coding RNA. RefSeq lists it as uncharacterized. The record is from RefSeq and is a predicted model, not a curated record. NCBI's taxonomy places the organism in Eukaryota, Metazoa, Chordata, Mammalia, Rodentia, Sciuridae. The transcript is spliced from 3 exons.